This is a transfer RNA of Anaeromyces robustus, 93 nucleotides long. It matches the Rfam family "tRNA". Rfam says of the family: Transfer RNA (tRNA) molecules are approximately 80 nucleotides in length. Lineage: Eukaryota; Fungi; Neocallimastigomycota; Neocallimastigomycetes; Neocallimastigales; Neocallimastigaceae. The record is from Rfam.
GCUCCUGUAGCAAAGUCGGUUAAUGCGUCGUGCUUAUAGGAGAGUACCUUCUAUGCUACGCGAAGGUCGUGAGUUCGAACCUCACCAGGAGCA